AUUGAACGCUGGCGGCAGGCCUAACACAUGCAAGUCGAGCGGAUGAAGGGAGCUUGCUCCUGGAUUCAGCGGCGGACGGGUGAGUAAUGCCUAGGAAUCUGCCUGGUAGUGGGGGAUAACGUCCGGAGACGGGCGCUAAUACCGCAUACGUCCUGAGGGAGAAAGUGGGGGAUCUUCGGACCUCACGCUAUCAGAUGAGCCUAGGUCGGAUUAGCUAGUUGGUGGGGUAAAGGCCUACCAAGGCGACGAUCCGUAACUGGUCUCAGAGGAUGAUCAGUCACACUGGAACUGAGACACGGUCCAGACUCCUACGGGGGGCAGCAGUGGGGAAUAUUGGACAAUGAGCGAAAGCCUGAUCCAGCCAUGCCGCGUGUGUGAAGAAGGUCUUCGGAUUGUAAAGCACUUUAAGUUGGGAGGAAGGGCAGGAAGUUAAUACCUUGCUGAUUUGACGUUACCAACAGAAUAAGCACCGGCUAACUUCGUG
Molecule: ribosomal RNA, 484 nt
Filed under: uncultured bacterium
Lineage: Bacteria
Description: partial 16S ribosomal RNA
Rfam family: Bacterial small subunit ribosomal RNA
Source: RNAcentral